GAACCACCAUGUAGGGGCUCUGGGAAUCUAACCCCAGUCUCUGGAAGAGCAGCCAAUGCUCUUAACCACGGAGCCAUCUCUCCAGCCCCAGAACCAACACUUGUACAAGACAGUCCUGGGGGAAGGAUUAAAACAGAGUCUUACUACAUAGUCCAGGUUGGCCUCAAGCUUGGUGCAAUCUUUCUGCCUCAGCCUCUCAAAUGCUGGUGUGACAAGGUAUGUGCCUCCCUACCCAGCUGGACAAUUUUAACUAUUUUCUCUUUAGCCCUCCCUGCUCUGGAGCCUCUGAUUGAAAAAUGGCCACUGCAAGACACUGAGUGCCAUUUCUGCAAGUCUGUGAUCAACCAGGCCUGGAACACCAGUGAACAGGCUAUGCCACAGGCAAUGCACCAGGCCUGCCUUCGCUUCUGGCUAGACAGGCAAAAGUGUGAGCAGUUUGUGGAACGGCACAUGCCCCAGCUGCUGGCCCUGGUGCCUAGGAGCCAGGAUGCCCACACCUCCUGCCAGGCCCUUGGAGUAUGUGAGGCCCCGGCCAGCCCUCUGCAAUGCUUCCAAACCCCACACCUCUGAGAACCCAGGCUCCAGGUGAGUCCAGCCCCUGGGGAGAGGGAUAGGUCUUUGCCUCCUAAGGUUUGGGAACAGAAGAUUAUCCUGCCUCCACCAGGCACGGCUCCAGGCUCCUCGGAGUCUCCAGUUCCACCAGGAAAAGGCGCUCUUUUGGACCUAUUGUCAUGCUGUCACUCCCAGCUCUCCUCGUCUCA
This 761-nucleotide long non-coding RNA is filed under the name Rattus norvegicus (Norway rat). Its description in RNAcentral is "long non-coding RNA NONRATT020557". Lineage: Eukaryota; Metazoa; Chordata; Mammalia; Rodentia; Muridae. The record is from RNAcentral.